This 1116-nucleotide long non-coding RNA is filed under the name Brachypodium distachyon (stiff brome). Its description in RNAcentral is "long non-coding RNA (BDIS_LNC000262)". Lineage: Eukaryota; Viridiplantae; Streptophyta; Magnoliopsida; Poales; Poaceae. The record is from RNAcentral.
AGAAGAGAGAAGAGAUUCAGAUUCAGCAUUCUUAAACAUUACAGGUUCGGUUUAAGUGUUUUAGUUCAGUUAAAGUUCAGUUUAAGUGCUAAAGUUCAGGUUUUAGUUCAGGUUAUGAGAGAGAGGAGACAUAAGAGAAGAGAUUAAGAGAGGAGAGGAGAUAAGAGAGGAUAGAUUUUAGUUCAGGUUUUAGUUGGGGUUUUAGUUAAGGUUUUAGUUCAGGUUCAAGAUAGAUUGAGAUUGAGAGGAGAGGAGAAUAGAUUGAGAUUGAGAGAGAAGAUUUGACUGCAUCAUUAACAACAGAGUAUAGAACAUUCUUAGCAGCAAACAAGCUCCACAUCAACAACUAAUGCUCCUAGCAAUCAGAAACUCAAUUAACAACUCAAUGGCACUAAAAAGAUGCUUUAUGUGGCAAUCUCAAUUAACAACUCAAUGGUACAACAUGCAUCAUAGCAUUCUCAAUAUACUAGAAUUCUUAAUCCUGCAGAUACCCAGUGCAGAUAGAGUACUUAUCUUACUCCUGUAGAUGGUGCUGAUCUUGUAGAGCAGUACCCAAUGCUCCACUCCUGUAGAUGGUGGGGGAAAAAAAGUUUAAGUCAACUCCACUCAAACUGUACAAUCUCAUGUUAAUCUAAACAGAAACAGAAGGAGUAUUUUUACAAUGCUAAUUUAAUCUGUACUUCUGCUAAUCUAAACAGAAACAGAAGGAAUACAAUGCUAAUCUAAUUAAACACUCAACUACUCCUAUACUUGUACAAAGACAAAAAGUUCCUGCUAACACUGGCAUCACCGAGCAUUAUCGCAUCUCAAGGCACAAACUUACAGCUCCAUAGAUCAAACAACAGAGCACAGCACACAUACACAAGGAUUAUAGGACAGUCAAAACCUAACCAUCAAGCAAUGAAUUGGGGAAAAGUCUUCUUUAGUUUCAGAAUACACAAAGCAAAAUCACAUCUCAAGUCUAUUGCAUUUAGAAUACACAUAUCAGAAUACACAAAAUAUACGCUGAAGAUUCUACGGAUAGGGAUAGAAUAUACAGUAAAGAUUACAAGCUCCUCCUCGUCGAUUGAGAUUACAGGAAGUAAAAACACUGAACUGGGACAGAGUAAAAACCUA